RNAcentral lists this ribosomal RNA (492 nucleotides) under uncultured bacterium. RNAcentral's name for it is "partial 16S ribosomal RNA". It matches the Rfam family "Bacterial small subunit ribosomal RNA", at positions 29 to 507 of the family's 1533-position model. The record is from RNAcentral.
AGUGAACGCUGGCGGUAGGCCUAACGCAUGCAAGUCGAACGGCAGCACAGUAAGAGCUUGCUCUUACGGGUGGCGAGUGGCGGACGGGUGAGGAAUACAUCGGAAUCUACUUUUUCGUGGGGGAUAACGUAGGGAAACUUACGCUAAUACCGCAUACGACCUACGGGUGAAAGCAGGGGAUCUUCGGACCUUGCGCGAUUGAAUGAGCCGAUGUCGGAUUAGCUAGUUAGCGGGGUAAAGGCCCACCAAGGCGACGAUCCGUAGCUGGUCUGAGAGGAUGAUCAGCCACACUGGAACUGAGACACGGUCCAGACUCCUACGGGAGGCAGCAGUGGGGAAUAUUGGACAAUGGGCGCAAGCCUGAUCCAGCUAUACCGCGUGGGUGAAGAAGGCCUUCGGGUUGUAAAGCCCUUUUGUUGGGAAAGAAAAGCAGCAGGUUAAUACCCCGCUGUUCUGACGGUACCCAAAGAAUAAGCACCGGCUAACUUCGUG